Molecule: unclassified non-coding RNA, 433 nt
Filed under: soil metagenome
Description: partial contains 5.8S ribosomal RNA, internal transcribed spacer 2, and large subunit ribosomal RNA
Rfam family: 5.8S ribosomal RNA (bases 1-120)
Source: RNAcentral
GAUGAAGAACGUAGUGAAAUGCGAUACGUAAUGUGCAUUGCAGAAUUCAGUGAAUCAUCGAAUCUUUGAACGCAUAUUGCGCUCUCUGGUAUUCCGGAGAGCAUGCUUGUUUGCGUAUCAGUAAACACCUCAACUUCCAUAUCUUUUUUUGAAAUGGGAGUUGGACUUGAGUGAUCCCAACGCUUUUCCUCACCGAAAAGUGGCGGGUUACUUGAAAUGCAGGUGCAGCUGGACUUUUCUCUGAGCUAUAAGCAUAUCUAUUUAGUCUGCCUAAAAAACAGAUUAUUACCUUUGCUGCAGCUAACAUAAAGGAGAUUAGUUCUUGUGCUGACUGAUGCAGGAUUCACAAAGACAGCUUCGGCCGACUUUGUAAACUCGAUCUCAAAUCAAGUAAGACUACCCGCUGAACUUAAGCAUAUCAAUAAGCGGAGGA